CAAGAGCGUAUAUUAAAGUUGCUGCGGUUAAAAAGCUCGUAGUUGGAUUUCAGUCUAGGAAGGUUAACUCGCCGAAAGGUUGUACGUUGAUUUUCCUCAGACUUCGUCAGAAGCUCGUGCUGCACUUAACUGUGUGGUACGAUGUUCUGACCUUUUACCUUGAGGAAAGUAGAGUGUUUCAGGCAGGCUACCCAGCUUGAAUACAUUAGCAUGGAAUAAUGAAAUGGAUCUCGGUUCGAUUUCGUUGGUUCUAGAGCUGAGGUGAUGACCAAUAGGAACAGGCGAAGGUAUUCGUACUUGAGAGUGAGGAGUGAAAUCCGAUGAUCUCUUAAAGACGAUCCGAGGCGAAAGCAUUUGUCAAGGAUGUUUUCAUUGA
This 376-nucleotide ribosomal RNA is filed under the name uncultured eukaryote. RNAcentral's name for it is "partial 18S ribosomal RNA". It matches the Rfam family "Eukaryotic small subunit ribosomal RNA", at positions 592 to 976 of the family's 1831-position model. The record is from RNAcentral.